Molecule: ribosomal RNA, 693 nt
Filed under: uncultured bacterium
Lineage: Bacteria
Description: bacterial SSU rRNA
Rfam family: Bacterial small subunit ribosomal RNA
Source: RNAcentral
AACGCUAGCUACAGGCUUAACACAUGCAAGUCGAGGGGCAGCAUGAACUUAGCUUGCUAAGUUUGAUGGCGACCGGCGCACGGGUGAGUAACGCGUAUCCAACCUUCCGUACACUCAGGAAUAGCCUUUCGAAAGAAAGAUUAAUACCUGAUGGUAUGAUGAGAUUGCAUGAAAUCAUCAUUAAAGAUUCAUCGGUGUACGAUGGGGAUGCGUUCCAUUAGAUAGUAGGCGGGGUAACGGCCACCUAGUCGACGAUGGAUAGGGGUUCUGAGAGGAAGGUCCCCCACAUUGGAACUGAGACACGGUCCAAACUCCUACGGGAGGCAGCAGUGAGGAAUAUUGGUCAAUGGGCGCGAGCCUGAACCAGCCAAGUAGCGUGAAGGAUGAAGGUCCUACGGAUUGUAAACUUCUUUUAUAAGGGAAUAAAGUCACCCACGUGUGGGUGUUUGUAUGUACCUUAUGAAUAAGCAUCGGCUAACUCCGUGCCAGCAGCCGCGGUAAUACGGAGGAUGCGAGCGUUAUCCGGAUUUAUUGGGUUUAAAGGGAGCGUAGACGGGUCGUUAAGUCAGCUGUGAAAGUUUGAGGCUCAACCUUAAAAUUGCAGUUGAUACUGGCGUCCUUGAGUACGGUUGAGGCAGGCGGAAUUCGUGGUGUAGCGGUGAAAUGCUUAGAUAUCACGAAGAACUCCGAUUG